Molecule: ribosomal RNA, 707 nt
Filed under: uncultured bacterium
Lineage: Bacteria
Description: bacterial SSU rRNA
Rfam family: Bacterial small subunit ribosomal RNA
Source: RNAcentral
AAGGGUGAGUAACGCGUAUACCCCUGUGUGGUAGCGGGGGAUAACUUUUGAAAAAAAUACCUAAUACCACAUAACAAUAUAUUGCGCGACUUUUUUGAUAAACGGGUGCAAGUGUCUGUCUACCAGAUGGACCUGUUUUGUUUUAGCUAGUUGGGGGGGUAACGGCUCUCCGGGCUACGAUUCCUAUCCGACCUGACAGGGUGAUAGGCCCCCCUGGGACUGACACACGGCCACUACUCCUACGGGAAGCAGGAAUACGGCAUCUUCGGCGAAGGACGCUCCCCCACCCAGCCCCGCCGCAUGAGUGAAGAAGGUUUUCUGAUCGUCUCCUCUGUUGUAAAACAAGAACGAGUGUGAAAGUGGAAAGUUCACGCUGUGACGGCAUCUUACCAGAAACGGACGGCUAACUACGUGCCACCUCCCUCGGAAAUACGUACGUCCCGAGCGUCAUCCGGAUUUAUUGGACGUAAAGCGAGCGCAGGCGGAUACAUAAGUCUGAAGUUAAAGGCUGUGGCUUAACCAUAGUACGCUUUGGAAACUGUUUAACUUGAGUGCACAAGGGUAGAGUGGAAUUCCAUGUGUAGCGGUGAAAUGCGUAGAUAUAUGGAGGAACACCGGUGGCGAUAUCGGCUCUCUGUUCUGUAACUGACGCUGAGGCUCGAAAGCGUGGGGAGCAAACUAGGAUUACAUACCCCUGGUAGUCCACG